Molecule: ribosomal RNA, 428 nt
Filed under: uncultured bacterium
Lineage: Bacteria
Description: partial 16S ribosomal RNA
Rfam family: Bacterial small subunit ribosomal RNA
Source: RNAcentral
GUGGGGAAUAUUGGGCAAUGGGCGCAAGCCUGACCCAGCAACGCCGCGUGAAGGAAGAAGGCUUUCGGGUUGUAAACUUCUUUUACCAGGGACGAAACAAAUGACGGUACCUGGUGAAUAAGCCACGGCUAACUACGUGCCAGCAGCCGCGGUAAUACGUAGGUGGCGAGCGUUAUCCGGAUUUAUUGGGUGUAAAGGGCGUGUAGGCGGAACAGCAAGUCAGAUGUGAAAACCAGAGGCUCAACCGCUGGCCUGCAUAUGAAACUGUUGUUCUUGAGUGUCGGAGAGGUAAUCGGAAUUCCGUGGGUAGCGGUGAAAUGCGUAGAUAUACGGAGGAACACCAGUGGCGAAGGCGGAUUACUGGACGAUAACUGCCGCGGAGGCGCGAAAGCGUGGGGAGCAAACAGGAUUAGAUACCCUUGUAGUCC